GCCACUGAGAGCAGGGGCAUGCUGACUUCCCUGUGGAGGACUCACGAUCCCACAGAAUGCUGAACUUAAUGACUCCUGGGCUCCUAGCUGCGCCUCGCAUGAACGCUCACUCCAGGACACAUCGCAACAUAGGUCGAUGGGAGAAGCUUCAGACC
Long non-coding RNA from Lutra lutra (Eurasian river otter), 155 nucleotides. RefSeq lists it as uncharacterized. The record is from RefSeq and is a predicted model, not a curated record. Lineage: Eukaryota; Metazoa; Chordata; Mammalia; Carnivora; Mustelidae. The transcript is spliced from 3 exons.